Molecule: ribosomal RNA, 500 nt
Filed under: uncultured bacterium
Lineage: Bacteria
Description: partial 16S ribosomal RNA
Rfam family: Bacterial small subunit ribosomal RNA
Source: RNAcentral
AUUGAACGCUGGCGGCAUGCUUUACACAUGCAAGUCGAACGGUAACAGGGUGCUUGCACCGCUGACGAGUGGCGAACGGGUGAGUAAUACAUCGGAAUGUACCCAGUAAUGGAGGAUAACGCUUCGAAAGGAGUGCUAAUACCGCAUACGCCCUGAGGGGGAAAGUGGGGGACCGCAAGGCCUCACGUUAUUGGAGCAGCCGAUGGCUGAUUAGCUAGUUGGUGAGGUAAAGGCUCACCAAGGCGACGAUCAGUAGCGGGUCUUAGAGGCCGAUCCGCCACACUGGAACUGAGACACGGUCCAGGCUCCUACGGGAGGCAGCAGUGGGGAAUCUUGGACAAUGGGCGAAAGCCUGAUCCAGCAAUGCCGCGUGCGUGAAGAAGGCCUUCGGGUUGUAAAGCGCUUUUGUCUGGGAGCAAAUCCUGGCCUCUAAUACAGGUCGGGGAUGAGAGUACCAGAAGAAUAAGGACCGGCUAACUACGUGCCAGCCGCCGCAGUAA